Molecule: ribosomal RNA, 852 nt
Filed under: Photobacterium leiognathi
Lineage: Bacteria; Pseudomonadati; Pseudomonadota; Gammaproteobacteria; Vibrionales; Vibrionaceae
Description: bacterial SSU rRNA
Rfam family: Bacterial small subunit ribosomal RNA
Source: RNAcentral
AAUUUCAGGUGUAGCGGUGAAAUGCGUAAGGAUCGAAGAAUACGGUGGCGAAGCGGCCCCUGGACAAAAAACUGACGCUCAGAUGCGAAAGCGGGGGGAGCAAACAGAUAGAAAACNUGGUAGUCACGCGUAAACGAUGUCUACUGAGGUUGUGGCCUGAGCCGUGGCUUUCGGAGCUAACGCGUUAAGUAGACCGCCUGGGGAGUACGGUCGCAAGAUUAAAACUCAAAUGAAUUGACGGGGGCCCGCACAAGCGGUGGAGCAUGUGGUUUAAUUCGAUGCAACGCGAAGAACCUUACCUACUCUUGACAUCCAGAGAACUUUCCAGAGAUGGAUUGGUGCCUUCGGGAACUCUGAGACAGGUGCUGCAUGGCUGUCGUCAGCUCGUGUUGUGAAAUGUUGGGUUAAGUCCCGCAACGAGCGCAACCCUUAUCCUUGUUUGCCAGCACUUCGGGUGGGAACUCCAGGGAGACUGCCGGUGAUAAACCGGAGGAAGGUGGGGACGACGUCAAGUCAUCAUGGCCCUUACGAGUAGGGCUACACACGUGCUACAAUGGCGUAUACAAAGGGCUGCCAACUCGCGAGAGUGAGCGAAUCCCAGAAAGUACGUCGUAGUCCGGAUUGGAGUCUGCAACUCGACUCCAUGAAGUCGGAAUCGCUAGUAAUCGUGAAUCAGAAUGUCACGGUGAAUACGUUCCCGGGCCUUGUACACACCGCCCGUCACACCAUGGGAGUGGGCUGCACCAGAAGUAGAUAGCUUAACCUUCGGGAGGGCGUUUACCACGGUGUGGUUCAUGACUGGGGUGAAGUCGUAACAAGGUAGCCCUAGGGGAACCUGCGGCUGGAUCACCU